CAGGGGACGUAGAGAAUGCAGGAAUAAACAGGAGUCCAAGCGCAUAUCUAUUAAACCCAGCACAGGAGAGAGCACGAUACCCAGCUAAUGUUGAUAAAGAAAUGAAUCUUUUGAAGUUUGUAGAUAAAGCAACUGGGAAAAGUAUCGGAGCAUUCAGCUGGUAUGCUACCCAUGGAACUUCUAUGAGCAGAGACAAUAAGCUCAUCAGUGGAGACAACAAGGGUGCUGCUGCUAGGUUCUUCGAGGAUUGGUUCACUUCUACAACCAAAUCUAACUCAACAACAGUCAUGAACUUCCCCACACCAG
Molecule: unclassified non-coding RNA, 306 nt
Filed under: Hevea brasiliensis (rubber tree)
Lineage: Eukaryota; Viridiplantae; Streptophyta; Magnoliopsida; Malpighiales; Euphorbiaceae
Source: RNAcentral